RNAcentral lists this ribosomal RNA (301 nucleotides) under uncultured bacterium. Its description in RNAcentral is "partial 16S ribosomal RNA". It matches the Rfam family "Bacterial small subunit ribosomal RNA", at positions 509 to 807 of the family's 1533-position model. The record is from RNAcentral.
CAGCCGCCGCGGGAAUACGUAGGUGGCAAGCGUUGUCCGGAAUUAUUGGGCGUGAAGGGCUCGCAGGCGGUUUCUUAAGUCUGAUGUGAAAGCCCCCGGCUCAACCGGGGAGGGUCAUUGGAAACUGGGAAACUUGAGUGCAGAAGAGGAGAGUGGAAUUCCACGUGUGGCGGUGAAACGCGUAGAGAUGUGGAGGAACACCAGUGGCGAAGGCGACUCUCUGGUCUGUAACUGACGCUGAGGAGCGAAAGCGUGGGGAGCGAACAGGAUUAGAUACCCGCGUAGUCCCUGUCUCUUAUAC